UUGGUGUGCGCGUGGCUCUCUGGUCUUAGGCGCCGCACACGCUGCGUGAGGAGCCCAGGCCGCGGAGACUGCCUGUUAGGGUCGUGGGGAGACUGUCUGGAGGCCACUCCCCUGUGCGGCGUGUGCUAGGGGGCUUCUAUCCGGGGUAACUGGGCCUGGCCCAGUCUUGGUUGCCGGGCAUCGGCCUAACUCCAAACUUGAGCAUGUGCUGUUGGGUUAGGACUUACGAUUCUGGGUCUUAACGAUAUCUGGGUGUGUACAAUCCUGGAAUUGGCUCGGGCGAGAAGGGUGCCCGCCGGGUCAGCCUGGUAAUGAUAUAGAUGUAAUGGGGAUCCCACCUCCGGAUGCAUGAAACACUUAGCAAUUUGCAAAUUUUGGCCCUUAGAAGACGAGAGUAGGGAAGGAAGGUAACAUUAAGGCUGCAAGGUCAGUUGGUUACCUAGUACACCAUGCUUUGGGGCUUCCCAUGUUGGUUAGGAAUGGCAGGUAUUUCUGCCCUGUAUGACUGGAGUAAUCCAACCUUGUUGGUUCGUGGGAAAACAAGAUCUGGCUCUAAGUAUGUGUAGUUGUAACUCGCCAAAAUGACGAACACAAAAGGAAA
This 601-nucleotide long non-coding RNA is filed under the name Rattus norvegicus (Norway rat). RNAcentral describes it as "long non-coding RNA NONRATT007737". The record is from RNAcentral. Lineage: Eukaryota; Metazoa; Chordata; Mammalia; Rodentia; Muridae.